GGGCCCGCACAAGCGGUGGAGCAUGUGGUUCAAUUCGACGCAACGCGAAGAACCUUACCUGGGUUGGAACCCUCCAGAAGUCCGCAGAGAUGUGGAUGUGCUCGCAAGAGAACUGGAUGUCCAGGUGCUGCAUGGCUGUCGUCAGCUCGUGUCGUGAGAUGUUGGGUUAAGUCCCGCAACGAGCGCAACCCUUGUCGUUAGUUGCUAACAGUUCGGCUGAGCACUCUAACGAGACUGCCGGUGUUAAACCGGAGGAAGGUGGGGAUGACGUCAAGUCCUCAUGGCCCUUAUGCCCAGGGCUACACACGUGCUACAAUGGUGGUUACAAAGCGUCGCUAACCCGCGAGGGGGAGCCAAUCGCAAAAAAGCCACCUCAGUUCAGAUUGCAGUCUGCAACUCGACUGCAUGAAGUUGGAAUCGCUAGUAAUCCCUGAUCAGCAGGCAGGGUGAAUACGUUCCCGGGCCUUGUACACACCGCCCGUCACACCAUGGGAGUCAGUUGCUCCAGAAGUGGCCGCGCCAACCGCAAGGAGGCAGGUCCCUAAGGAGUGACUGGUGACUGGGGUGAAGUCGUAACAAGGUAGCCGUAGGGGAACCUGCGGCU
Molecule: ribosomal RNA, 604 nt
Filed under: uncultured Haliangium sp.
Lineage: Bacteria; Pseudomonadati; Myxococcota; Haliangiales; Kofleriaceae
Description: bacterial SSU rRNA
Rfam family: Bacterial small subunit ribosomal RNA
Source: RNAcentral